Molecule: ribosomal RNA, 207 nt
Filed under: uncultured bacterium
Lineage: Bacteria
Description: partial 16S ribosomal RNA
Rfam family: Bacterial small subunit ribosomal RNA
Source: RNAcentral
CACGUAGGUGGUUUGGUAUGUCGAUGGUGAAAUCCUGCAGCUCAACUGCAGAACUGCCAUCGAAACUACCUGGCUAGAGGGCAGGAGGGGAGAGUGGAAUUCCUAGUGUAGCGGUGAAAUGCGUAGAUAUUAGGAGGAACGCCGGUGGCGAAAGCGACUCUCUGGACUGCUUCUGACACUGAGGUGCAAAAGCUAGGGGAGCAAACA